This is a non-coding RNA of Pelobates cultripes (western spadefoot toad), 945 nucleotides long. Lineage: Eukaryota; Metazoa; Chordata; Amphibia; Anura; Pelobatidae. The record is from the annotation of a GenBank genome assembly.
GGCGGUAGGAGAGUCAGUAUGUGCAGAGUUUCUGCUUGAAACGCUGAACCUUCAGAUAUAUUUGCAAAAAAUAAAAAUCAUUUAAAAAAAUAAAAAAUAAGUCAGAUGGAGUAACCCUUUAAUAUUUAUUGUUUGUUUUACCAAUUGCUGGAUACUGUUAGUAAUACAUUGAACACAUCACAGCCCUAAGGUUUGCAUUUGGCAUAAAGAUUGAAAAUCACUUUGCCAAACUAUGACCUAAAUAAACAAAGUUCAGUUCUCAUAAAAUUUGUCUUAAAAUGGAGAAAUAGAAUUAUAUUGUAAGAGAGUAUGUAAUCUGUUAGAUGCUAGAGCACACUGUAGUAAUUUCUAAUCUAUAAAUUCUCAGACUCAAUACAAUUUAGUGUCAUUUUGCCUUUCAGUUCAUCAUGGACGCACUGAAAGACCGCAACAAAAUAUUGACACAGGAAUAAUACACGUUUUUCACUGGUUAAACAAACAAUUUUAUAUAAAAUUAAAUUGCAGCCAUGUAGGUCUUGGUGGAAUCAAAAUUGGUAAGAAGCCAGUGGACAAAGUAAUGAAAAGAUAAAAACUAACUACAGCAGCCCAUUCACAGAAACAAGUAGUGUGACUAGAGCUCUCCCCUCCAGAAUCGAAAAGAGAAAUGCAAUACAAUGUAAAACUAAAUUUGGCCCAUGUAUAAAAAGGAUUAAGCAAAAUCUUAAUCUCAUAUCUCGUGAAUGCACAUUUCCUAUGUUACAUGUAUGGUCAUUUAGGAUACAGUUGCUGCAAGUAGGAUCCUUAAUAUACAGGGUUAUUCACAAAUGUGGGAAUUUAAAUGUGAAUUGAAAGUGAAUUUGAGAUUUAAGGUCAAGAAAGCCUAACUGGAAAAAUUAUCUAAGUCCGCUAUGUUUUCAGUUCAGGUAAGAUGGCCUGAACAUGACAUGUGUGACAUGUCAUGAUUCC